Molecule: long non-coding RNA, 988 nt
Filed under: Helianthus annuus (common sunflower)
Lineage: Eukaryota; Viridiplantae; Streptophyta; Magnoliopsida; Asterales; Asteraceae
Source: RNAcentral
GCAGACUAAAAGUCUCACACAAAACCCACUAAUUUUACAAAUUUCUUCCAAUUCUACCCCUCUACCCUUUUAUCUAUACUAGGUUUCAGUGAUUUCGUGCUUGAUUAUUGAUGAUUGUAACCGAAGAUUCAAUGUUGGGUGAAAAUUGAAGACGCGAAUUGAAUUUGCCCUAUCGUUUCCAUUCCCUCGUCAGGCUUCUCCUAUGCCCUGAGUUGUAAUUAGGUUAUUCUGCCUUGCAAUCUCAUAAUCGUCCACUCUCAAUUGAUUAGUCGAAAUUUAAGAAGAGUCCAUUCACAUCCCCUCACCGCUCUCAUCAAUUGGCAUGCGUAUUUAUGCAGAGGACACCUUGAUUAUUCUUCAAUUGUUUUCUUGGAGAACCACAACCUCACAUCAAAAUACGAUUUUCACAGUUAUAUGAUCCGUUAUACGGAAUAACCGAAUAAGAGUUUCAAAGAAUAGUUGGAGUAAGGUAAUGAUGUUUCUUUCUUUCUUAUUUAUUUAUUUUACCCGUCUUUUGGUUAUAUGGUAUAGGUGGGAAUGAUGGAAGUGGAUCUGGUGAUUGGAUUUAUGAUGGUGCUGGUGAUCAAGAUCAGCAAUUGCAUGUUUUUACGGACCUGAAUGUUAUGCUCACCAACUGUUCGAAGAAUGUCCUCACACAAGAUCUUCAGCUGAAAUUAUCAUACAGGUUACAUGUCCCUUUGGUUUUAGUGAGUUUGAUUUAUCUGAUAUUGUGGACGAUUCUUUUGUUAGAAUUUUGUGAAUCCUUGAUUAUAUGAUAUAAUGAGUCGCUGGUGAAACACAUCGGCAUGGAUCCGGAAGGCUAUGGUCAUAUCACAUUAGAUUUUUACAAUUUAGAGUAUCAAUUUUUAUUUUAAAUUUAGAUAUGAAUUAUCAUAUUAAUUGCAUAUUAUAUCUUUGAUCUUUCGUCAAUCAUUUUACUUGAGGUCAUAACUGGUAACUUGAGGCUGGACGAUGGGCGGGUGCAGGG